UACGGGGGGGGCAAGCGUUGUUCGGAAUUACUGGGCGUAAAGGGCUCGUAGGCGGCCAACUAAGUCAGACGUGAAAUCCCUCAGCUUAACUGGGGAACUGCGUCUGAUACUGGAUGGCUUGGAUCCGGAAGAGGGAUGCGGAAUUCCAGGUGUAGCGGUGAAAUGCGUAGAUAUCAGGAGGAACACCAAUGGCGAAGGCAGCUCGCUGGGACGGUACUGACGCUGAGACGCGAAAGCGUGGGGAGCAAACAGG
Molecule: ribosomal RNA, 253 nt
Filed under: uncultured bacterium
Lineage: Bacteria
Description: partial 16S ribosomal RNA
Rfam family: Bacterial small subunit ribosomal RNA
Source: RNAcentral